AUGAAUUUGGAGAAUUGAUGCUGGCCUUUGUGCAUGUGCUCGUUCUCUUUAAUCCAUACACACCUGUGCACUUGUUAUCGGGGCUUGUUGUUAAAGAUAAGCCCUGCUUAAUCACAUACUCUUAUUAUUUACUUUGAAUGUUUAUCAAGUCGAAAGACUUUUAAAUCAAUA
RNAcentral lists this unclassified non-coding RNA (171 nucleotides) under soil metagenome. RNAcentral's name for it is "partial internal transcribed spacer 1". The record is from RNAcentral.